RNAcentral lists this small RNA (29 nucleotides) under Bombyx mori (domestic silkworm). Its description in RNAcentral is "ovarian small RNA-35761". The record is from RNAcentral. Lineage: Eukaryota; Metazoa; Arthropoda; Insecta; Lepidoptera; Bombycidae.
UGUCUACAACCAGCGAGUUUAUUUCGAAU